UACGGGGGGGCAAGCGUUGUUCGGAAUUACUGGGCGUAAAGGGCUCGUAGGCGGCCAACUAAGUCAGACGUGAAAUCCCUCGGCUUAACCGGGGAACUGCGUCUGAUACUGGAUGGCUUGAGGUUGGGAGAGGGAUGCGGAAUUCCAGGUGUAGCGGUGAAAUGCGUAGAGAUCGUAAGGAAGACCAGUGGCGAAGGCGGGUCUCUGGACAGUUCCUGACGCUGAGGCACGAAGGCCAGGGGAGCAAACGGG
RNAcentral lists this ribosomal RNA (252 nucleotides) under uncultured bacterium. Its description in RNAcentral is "partial 16S ribosomal RNA". It matches the Rfam family "Bacterial small subunit ribosomal RNA", at positions 524 to 776 of the family's 1533-position model. The record is from RNAcentral.